ACUCCUACGGGAGGCAGCAGUGGGGAAUAUUGCACAAUGGGCGCAAGCCUGAUGCAGCCAUGCCGCGUGUAUGAAGAAGGCCUUCGGGUUGUAAAGUACUUUCAGCAGUGAGGAAGGCGGGUGUGUUAAUAGCACAUUCGUUUGACGUUAGCUGCAGAAGAAGCACCGGCUAACUCCGUGCCAGCAGCCGCGGUAAUACGGAGGGUGCGAGCGUUAAUCGGAAUUACUGGGCGUAAAGCGCAUGCAGGCGGCCUGUUAAGUCAGAUGUGAAAGCCCGGGGCUUAACCUCGGAAUUGCAUUUGAAACUGGCAGGCUAGAGUCUUGUAGAGGGGGGUAGAAUUUCAGGUGUAGCGGUGAAAUGCGUAGAGAUCUGAAGGAAUACCAGUGGCGAAGGCGGCCCCCUGGACAAAGACUGACGCUCAGAUGCGAAAGCGUGGGGAGCAAACAGGAUUAGAUACCCUGGUAGGAUAGCG
This 473-nucleotide ribosomal RNA is filed under the name uncultured bacterium. RNAcentral's name for it is "bacterial SSU rRNA". It matches the Rfam family "Bacterial small subunit ribosomal RNA", at positions 335 to 799 of the family's 1533-position model. The record is from RNAcentral.